UACGAAGGGGGCUAGCGUUGCUCGGAAUGACUGGGCGUAAAGCGCACGUAGGCGGAUCUUUAAGUCAGAGGUGAAAUCCCAAGGCUCAACCUUGGAACUGCCUUUGAUACUGGGGAUCUUGAGUCCGGGAGAGGUGAGUGGAACUGCGAGUGUAGAGGUGAAAUUCGUAGAUAUUCGCAAGAACACCAGUGGCGAAGGCGGCUCACUGGCCCGGUACUGACGCUGAGGUGCGAAAGCGUGGGGAGCAAACAGG
This 253-nucleotide ribosomal RNA is filed under the name uncultured bacterium. RNAcentral's name for it is "partial 16S ribosomal RNA". It matches the Rfam family "Bacterial small subunit ribosomal RNA", at positions 524 to 776 of the family's 1533-position model. The record is from RNAcentral.